UACGUAGGUGGCGAGCGUUGUCCGGAUUUACGGGGCGUAAAGGGCGCGUAGGCGGUUGCCUAAGUCGGACGUGAAAUCCCCAAGCUUAACUUGGGAACUGCGUCCGAUACUGGGUGACUUGAGUUCGGGAGAGGAAUGUGGAAUUCCAGGUGUAGCGGUGAAAUGCGUAGAUAUCGGGAGGAACACCCGUAGCGAAGGCGGUUCUCUGGGCCAAUACUGACGCUGAGGAGCGAAAGCGUGGGGAGCAAACAGG
RNAcentral lists this ribosomal RNA (253 nucleotides) under uncultured bacterium. RNAcentral's name for it is "partial 16S ribosomal RNA". It matches the Rfam family "Bacterial small subunit ribosomal RNA", at positions 524 to 776 of the family's 1533-position model. The record is from RNAcentral.